GAACAACACUACCACAAACAUAACAAAACAUCCCCUGAAGAGGAGCACCUAUCCAACCCAGAUUCCGGCACUUUAUGGAUCCUCCUUUCCUGAGAUGCCCUGUUCCUGUCUCUAGACACAAGAACUUGGUUCAACCCAGUGCCUUCCCUGGGAGCUACUGCCACAGGAUCAGGAUCACGCCUCCUCAGCCCUUCUCUUCACAAGCUGAAGUGUGCCUCAAGGUCAUGUUUGUCCAAAACAUGCUAUAGAUCAUAACACAGAUUAGGUAAUUUGGAGGCCUCCGAUGAUGUCAGCAUGUUAGUUUCACAAGAUCCAAGCGAUAACGAGGAACUGAGCUGGAUGCCAUGGUGAAGCAGUGGGGGUGAUGAAAGAAAGGAGCGGGAUGCAGCUGCAAAGACAAGGGAGCCACUUCUCAAGAGAAGGGAGCCCUUGCAAGUCUGUUGGAAGAGAGGAGGAAGCUUGCAGAGAAGGAGAGGACCUCACCAGGAGCUAAGUGUGAUCAUAUUGGCCCAACAGUAUGUAAGCAAAAAUGUUGGUUGUGAGCUUCUGAGGAACUUUCUGAAAGACCAUUGGUGCAAGUCCUUCAUCCUUCCCUUAUUCCUUCCUCCACCCUGCUGCCUGGAAUUCAAGUCUACCUCCAUAUUCGACCACAAAGACAACAGCUUUGGGACAGGGAUGUGAAGCCAAAGGACAAAUGAUCCCAGAAGAUUCGGAAUGAGAUAUAUAUCAGCCCAACACUGUCUGUACCUGAACUUAUAAUAUAAAAAUUCUAUUUGUUUAAUGCUAAAGCUAAGUGAGGAUUUUCUGUUACAUACAGCCAAACCUAAUUCUAAUUGAUAU
This is a long non-coding RNA of Manis javanica (Malayan pangolin), 840 nucleotides long. RefSeq lists it as uncharacterized. The record is from RefSeq and is a predicted model, not a curated record. NCBI's taxonomy places the organism in Eukaryota, Metazoa, Chordata, Mammalia, Pholidota, Manidae.